Molecule: ribosomal RNA, 468 nt
Filed under: uncultured bacterium
Lineage: Bacteria
Description: partial 16S ribosomal RNA
Rfam family: Bacterial small subunit ribosomal RNA
Source: RNAcentral
GACGAACGCUGGCGGCGUGCUUAACACAUGCAAGUCGAACGGAAAGGCCCUGCUUUUGUGGGGUGCUCGAGUGGCGAACGGGUGAGUAACACGUGAGUAACCUGCCCUUGACUUUGGGAUAACUUCAGGAAACUGGGGCUAAUACCGGAUAGGAGCUCCUGCUGCAUGGUGGGGGUUGGAAAGUUUCGGCGGUUGGGGAUGGACUCGCGGCUUAUCAGCUUGUUGGUGGGGUAGUGGCUUACCAAGGCUUUGACGGGUAGCCGGCCUGAGAGGGUGACCGGCCACAUGGGGACUGAGAUACGGCCCAGACUGCUACGGGAGGCAGCAGUGGGGAGUAUUGCACAAUGGGCGGAAGCGUGAUGCAGCGACGCCGCGUGCGGGAUGACGGCCUUCGGGUUGUAAACCGCUUUCGCCUGUGACGAAGCGUGAGUGACGGUAAUGGGUAAAGAAGCACCGGCUAACUACGUG